RNAcentral lists this ribosomal RNA (448 nucleotides) under uncultured bacterium. Its description in RNAcentral is "bacterial SSU rRNA". It matches the Rfam family "Bacterial small subunit ribosomal RNA", at positions 330 to 795 of the family's 1533-position model. The record is from RNAcentral.
ACCAGACUCCUACGGGAGGCAGCAGUGGGGAAUAUUGCACAAUGGGGGAAACCCUGAUGCAGCAACGCCGCGUGAGUGAAGAAGUAUUUCGGUAUGUAAAGCUCUAUCAGCAGGGAAGAAAAUGACGGUACCUGAGUAAGAAGCCCCGGCUAACUACGUGCCAGCAGCCGCGGUAAUACGUAGGGGGCAAGCGUUAUCCGGAUUUACUGGGUGUAAAGGGAGCGUAGACGGCGAUGCAAGUCUGAAGUGAAAGCCCGGGGCUCAACCCCGGGACUGCUUUGGAAACUGUAUGGCUGGAGUGCUGGAGAGGCAAGCGGAAUUCCUAGUGUAGCGGUGAAAUGCGUAGAUAUUAGGAGGAACACCGGUGGCGAAGGCGGCUUACUGGACUGUAACUGACGUUGAGACUCGAAGGCGUGGGGAGCAAACAGGAUUAGAUACCCGCGUAGCC